Long non-coding RNA from Gasterosteus aculeatus aculeatus (three-spined stickleback), 489 nucleotides. Lineage: Eukaryota; Metazoa; Chordata; Actinopteri; Perciformes; Gasterosteidae. The record is from Ensembl.
CCUGUUUGUUGGUAGAUCCUUUCAUGUUACAGACAUAACAACAAUGCUACGGGAAACAAUCCACACUUGUUGUUUUAUUUUGAAUUCCGAAGUUUUAAUCUGUCUGAAUCAAAUACAGUAAUAUGGAGCGGCAUCAGUCCGAGUCAAGAAUCUGUCAGAUCGCAAGCGCUACCACCCUGACUGCUGUGUCAGUCCUUCGCUGAUGAAGAGCUGCUUGGUUCAGGAGGAACGACCUUGGAGUUGAAUGUGGCUCUACGCAGAUGGCUUCAACACCUGUUUAACUGCAUCCUGUCUUGAAAAUGCCUUGGCGUCAUCAGUGUGAAUGAAUAGCGACGAGCUCCUGCUAUUGAGGCGUCACAUCUGGGACCCUUGCAACAAACGGCAGAAAGGCCUCACACAAUUCACCGAGAAUACAAAUUCAUCAAUUGAUGUUGAAGUCGUGUUCCUCCACGAGCCUUUUGGCUUCUAUGCUGAAAGCUAAAAUGCACC